Paramuricea clavata is the source of this 73-nucleotide non-coding RNA. The record is from the annotation of a GenBank genome assembly. NCBI's taxonomy places the organism in Eukaryota, Metazoa, Cnidaria, Anthozoa, Malacalcyonacea, Plexauridae.
GGUUUCGUAGUGUAGCGGUGAUCACGUUCGCCUAACACGCGCAAGGUCCUCAUUUCGAUCCUGGGCGGCAACA